RNAcentral lists this ribosomal RNA (391 nucleotides) under uncultured Glomeraceae. Its description in RNAcentral is "partial 28S ribosomal RNA". Lineage: Eukaryota; Fungi; Glomeromycota; Glomeromycetes; Glomerales; Glomeraceae. The record is from RNAcentral.
GUGAAAUUGUUGAAAGGGAAACGAUUGAAGUCAGUCGUACCGACGAGAAAUCAGCUUUUCGAAUGUGCAUUUGUGGGCGUAUGAGAUCUUCAUUGUUUGCAAUAUGUAUGUUUCUUUGGUGUAUUUUUUCGUAUGGUAGGUCAAUGUCGGUUUUGAUCGCCAUAAAAUGAUCGGAGGAAUGUAGCUUCGGCCUCGGUUGAAGUGUUACAGCCUUUGGUAAAUGUGGUGAUUAGGACCGAGGAUUGCAACGAAUACCUUUUAGGCUAUCCGUUUGACUUCUGAAAGUUACUUAGGUGCCAAAACAAGCUUAAAGCAUCUAAGUUGACGGUCAAAAGGUUUUUAGAACGUGAUUAUAUUUGUUAAGGAUGUUGACGUAAUGGCUUUAAACGAC